GUGACCACCCAAGUACUAUGGGACACGAGCAAUCCCAUAGGAAGCUGGGAAGACCACUUUCCAAGGCUAAAUACACACUGACGACCGAUAGCGCAUAGUACCGUGAGGGAAAGGUGAAAAGCACCCCGGGAGGGGAGUGAAAUAGAACCUGAAACCGUGUGCUUACAAACAGUUGGAGGGCGUUAAAGCCUGACAGCGUACUUUUUGUAGAACGGACCGGCGAGUUUUUAUAUGCAGCGAGGUUAAGGCGUUAAGCGCCGCAGCCGUAGCGAAAGCGAGUCUUAAUAGGGCAGAAGUUGCAUAUAGAAGACCCGAAACCGGGUGAGCUACCCAUGGCCAGGGUGAAACGCGAGUAAAACCGCGUGGAGGCCCGAACCUUUUAGCGUUGAAAAGCUAUAGGAUGAGCUGUGGGUGGGAGUGAAAAGCUAAUCGAACUCGGAGAUAGCUGGUUCUCCCCGAAAUAGCUUUAGGGCUAGCCUCAAAGUAAGAGUACCGGAGGUAGAGCACUGAUCGGGCUAAGGGCCUGACGGUUACUGAACCCUUUCAAACUCCGAAUGCCGGUAUGAAUCUUUGGGAGUCAGUCUAUGUGGGAUAAGCCGUAUAGACAAAAGGGAAACAGCCCAGACCGUCGGUUAAGGUCCCUAAAUCCAAGCUAAGUGGUAAAGGAAGUGGAAUCGCAUAGACAACCAGGAUGUUGGCUUAGAAGCAGCCACACAUUUAAAGAGUGCGUAAUAGCUCACUGGUCGAGUGGUCCCGCGCCGAAAAUGUAACGGGGCUCAAGCUUGGUACCGAAACCACGGAAUCUCUAGGGAUUGGUAGGGGAGCGUUGUCUGCGCAUAGAAGCCGUACCGUAAGGAGCGGUGGAGUGCAGAGAAGUGAGAAUGCCGGUAUGAGUAGCGAAAAGAAGGGUGAGAAUCCCUUCCGCCGAAAGCCUAAGGUUUCCUGAGGAAGGAUCGUCCGCUCAGGGUAAGUCGGGGCCUAAGGUGAGGCCGAAAGGCGUAAUCGAUGGAUAACAGGUUGAUAUUCCUGUACCAUUUCAAUGCGUUUGAGUGAAGUAGUGACGCAGAAGGAUAGACUGAGCGUGGUUUGGUAGUCCGCGUUCAAGGAGUUAGGGAGUGAGAUAGGCAAAUCCGUCUCACAUAAUCCUGAGCUCUGAUGAGGAGGCGUAAGCCGAAGCAGUUGAUUCCCCGCUGCCAAGAAAAGCUGCUAGCGAGUAUUGAAAUGCCCGUACUAAAACCGCCACAGGUAGGCGAGGAGAGAAUCCUAAGGCGCGCGAGAGAACCCUUGUUAAGGAACUCGGCAAAAUGACUCCGUAACUUCGGGAGAAGGAGUGCCUCGUUAGGGUGCAAGCCCGAGGAGGUCGCAGAUAAGAGGCCCAGGCGACUGUUUAACAAAAACACAGGUCUCUGCUAAGUGGGAACACGAAGUAUAGGGGCUGACACCUGCCCAAUGCCGGAAGGUUAAGGGGAUGCGUUAGCGUAAGCGAAGCGUUGAACUGAAGCCCCGGUCAAUGGCGGCCGUAACUAUAACGGUCCUAAGGUAGCGAAAUUCCUUGUCGGGUAAGUUCCGACCCGCACGAAAGGUGUAACGAUCUGGGCGCUGUCUCAACAGGGGACUCGGCGAAAUUGUAGUGCCUGUGAAGAUGCAGGCUACCCGCGACUAGACGGAAAGACCCCAUGGAGCUUUACUGUAGCUUGUCAUUGGGCUUUGCUGUCAAUUGUACAGGAUAGGUGGGAGGCUUAGAAGUGUGGGCGCUAGUCUACAUGGAGCCGUCGGUGGGAUACCACUCUAUUGACAGCGGGGUUCUAACUUAUAGCUGUGAAACCAGCGUGAGGACAGUGGCAGGUGGGCAGUUUGACUGGGGCGGUCGCCUCCUAAAAGGUAACGGAGGCGCCCAAAGGUUCCCUCAGCGCGGUCGGAAAUCGCGCAUUGAGUGUAAAGGCACAAGGGAGCUUAACUGCGAGACCAACAAGUCGAGCAGGGACGAAAGUCGGGCUUAGUGAUCCGGUGGCCCCGCGUGGGAGGGCCAUCGCUCAACGGAUAAAAGCUACCCUGGGGAUAACAGGCUUAUCUCCCC
RNAcentral lists this ribosomal RNA (2077 nucleotides) under fermentation metagenome. RNAcentral's name for it is "bacterial LSU rRNA". It matches the Rfam family "Bacterial large subunit ribosomal RNA", at positions 400 to 2492 of the family's 2925-position model. The record is from RNAcentral.